GAGGGGCAAGAUGCAAAUGUUACAAGGGGCAUGCGUGAACAGCUGAGUGAAUUUCCCUAUAGAUCCAACGCACCAGGCAGUCCAGCAGCACCGUAUCACCGAAUGAAUGCGAGCACUGACAGCAGCAGGUGUCUUCCAGCGGAAGAUAUCGAAAAUAUCGGCGCAAAAUACUCCCGUUCCGUUUCCAAACUCCAAGACCCCCUUUCCGUCCUCUUGUGUGUGUCGCACCGCCGCCGACCGGGUGCCUGCCGAUCAUGGCCGGCCGCGACGACCUCGCCGCGCUCCGCGAGCAGACCGCCCUCGCCUCCUCCGCCGCCGUCUCCGUCUCCGACCUCGACCUCGCGUACCAGCUCCAGCUCGCCGAGGCCAUCCAGGCAUCUCUCCGCCUCGACGCCCUCGCCAGCAAUCCCUCCUCUUCCAAAGGCAAAGCCCCCGUCGCCGCCUCCUCCUCCUCCUCGUCCCUGUCCCAGCCCGCCCCCGCGCCGCCGGAGCCCUCGGACGCCUCAUACGCCCUGGCGAUCCACGCCGCCGACCUCGCGCGCGCCGAGGAGGACCACCGCUACGCCGAGGCCUGCCGCGCCUACUACGCCAGGGCCGCCGCCUCCGCCUGCGUCGCCGCCCACGACGCCAUUUUCGCGCGCGAGCUCGCCGCCGUCCCGGAGGACCAGUGGGCCCACGACGGAGACAACAUCGAGCGCCCUCUGGACUCGACCAAGCCCCUCUUCCGCGUCAUGUUCAAGGGCAUGGCGAGCAAGGAGGUGGUCGGAUCGCGGGACUGGGACCCCCGCGUCGCGGUCCUCGCCGUGGCGCUGUGCGACUCCCAGGGAAAGGUGGUGCUCAGGAUACAGAAGCCGGUGGAAGGGUUUGUGGGCGGUCGCAUGAUGCUCGAGGCAAUGGCGCUCACCGAAGGCCUCCAGGCGGCGCUCGGGUUAGGGAUCCAGAGCAUUAGGAUUCUCAACGAUUACAAGGCACUCCAUAACCAUAUGCGUGGAAUUUGGCGCCCGAAACAGGCGAAGCUUGCAGAAAUGAUAGAUCAGGUUCUGUCAGUAGCAAAGAAAUUCAAACAAUGUGAAAUUUCACUUGUGGAACGAGGCAAACUUGAUUACGUGAUGAAAUUAGCAAGAGAUUCGAUACUCUCUCAGAUUGCCAAAGCUGUUGCUGUGAAUGCUAGCAAGGAGAAAAGAGAGACCUGCGCCAUCUGCCUCGAAGACACCGAUGUUUCUAAAAUUCAUGUGGUCGAAGGCUGUGCACAUCGCUUUUGUUUCUGCUGCAUGAAGGAGCAUGUGAAAGUUAAGCUACUCCAUGGAACUCUCCCAGCUUGCCCACAAGAUGGUUGCACUACAAAGCUAACCAUGGAGGGUUCAAAGAUAUUCCUAUCGCCUCGACUGUUAGAUAUCAUGGUGCAACGCAUCAGGGAAGGACAGAUCCCUGCUACUCAAAAGAUUUACUGCCCGUACCCCAAGUGUUCAGCCUUGAUGUCCUUGAGUGAAAUGAAACACCCAUUGCAAGAAUCUUCCUCAAAGUACACCAUUGCUGAUGCUGCCACAUUGAGAAAGUGUGUCAAAUGCAGAGGCUCAUUCUGCAUCAGCUGGACAGGAUGUCUUGUUACGACUACAAGAGUAGGUACCCCCAAGCUCGUCCAGAUGAUGCGAAGUUACAGAACCUUGCACGGCAGCAGCUGUGGCGCCAAUGUGUCAAAUGCAAGCACAUGAUUGAACUCUCAGAGGGCUGCUACCAUAUGACCUGUGUAUGCGGCUAUGAAUUCUGCUACACCUGUGGGAAAGAAUGGAAAGACAAGAAAGCGACCUGCUCGUGCCCGCUGUGGGAUGAAGAUAAUAUUAUCCGUGAUGGCAUGGAAGAUGACGAUGACGAUGAUGAUGACUACGAUGAGGAUGAGGAUGAUGACUAUGACUACGAUGAGGAUGAGGAUGAUUACUACUCCCUCCGUCCCAUAAUAUAAGAACGUUUUUGACACUAAUGUGGUGUUAAAAACGUUCUUAUAUUUUGGGACAGAGGGAGUAUGCUAGAGAAGGCCAACACUAUGACCGGCAUAACGCUGGUCACCACCAUGGUGGUGGAGGAGCCCAGAAUUUUUAUGACUACAACAACAAUCCCGGGCAUCUUCCUCGUCAUGGCGGUGGAGGGGCUAGAAAUUUCUACAGCUACAACUAGUCCAGUACUUCUGCAGCUACAACUGAUGUUACUGUUAGUUAAGCAGAAUCUCCUACCGUUCUAUUUGCGUUUGCGUUUAGUAUCUAACUACCUGAUGGUACUAUCCCGUCAGGCGCACAUGAACUUAGGCAAGGCAAGGCAAAUUAGUAUGAGUGAACGUUGGUUUUUGCACAUGGCCUAUGUUCUUGAUCAGUGAUAUUUUCUUUUUAUGAUA
Triticum aestivum (bread wheat) is the source of this 2386-nucleotide RNA transcript. RefSeq lists it as uncharacterized. Lineage: Eukaryota; Viridiplantae; Streptophyta; Magnoliopsida; Poales; Poaceae. The record is from RefSeq and is a predicted model, not a curated record. The transcript has 3 exons.